RNAcentral lists this ribosomal RNA (459 nucleotides) under uncultured bacterium. RNAcentral's name for it is "partial 16S ribosomal RNA". It matches the Rfam family "Bacterial small subunit ribosomal RNA", at positions 338 to 795 of the family's 1533-position model. The record is from RNAcentral.
CCUACGGGAGGCAGCAGUGAGGAAUAUUGGUCAAUGGGCGGGAGCCUGAACCAGCCAAGUCGCGUGAGGGAAGACGGUCCUAUGGAUUGUAAACCUCUUUAUGCGGGGAGCAAUGCCGGGCACGCGUGCCCGGUGGGAGAAUACCCGCAGAAUAAGCAUCGGCAAACCCCGUGCCAGCAGCCGCGGUAAUACGGGGGAUGCGAGCGUUAUCCGGAUUUUUUGGGGUUAAGGGGUGCGUAGGCGGAUUUUAAGUUCGCGGUAAAAUGUCCGGGCUUAAACCGGGCCGGCCGUUGAAACUGGGGUUCUUGAGUGGGCGAGAAGGAUGCGGAAUGCGUGGUGUAGCGGUGAAAUGCAUAGAUAUCACGCAGAACUCCGAUUGCGAAGGCAGCAUACCGGCGCCCGACUGACGCUGAGGCACGAAAGCGUGGGGAUCGAACAGGAUUAGAUACCCGAGUAGUC